This 115-nucleotide small RNA is filed under the name Marmota monax (woodchuck). The record is from RNAcentral. Lineage: Eukaryota; Metazoa; Chordata; Mammalia; Rodentia; Sciuridae.
GCCAGGCGCAGUGGUGCAUGCCAGUAAUCUCAGCAGCUCAGGAGGCUGAGGCAGGAGGAUCACAAGUUCAAAGCCACUCUCAGCAACUUUGCAACUUGGUGAGACCCCGUCUCUA